RNAcentral lists this long non-coding RNA (1872 nucleotides) under Mytilus galloprovincialis (Mediterranean mussel). The record is from RNAcentral. Lineage: Eukaryota; Metazoa; Mollusca; Bivalvia; Mytilida; Mytilidae.
UUUUGCAGCUUAUUAAUUGUUUUGGCUUUGCGAAAAAGAAUUUCCACAUUUGUUGAUUGAGAACAUUUACUGUUUGGAUAAUCAGUAAGGUAUUCUGAUACUCUUGCUUCGAGUUCAAGAAAAGCCUUGUGUUUUCCUGUGAAGUCAUUAAGAUGAUGUAAACAGAGAAAAUGUAGGUAAUGGACAAAGGAUACAGUUGGAAAAAUAAUAGUCGGAUGUUCAUAGAUCCAAGGUUUUAGCUCUGUAGGUAAAAGACACGAUUCGUUCUGAAAUAUAGGGGACCAUAUGGUACAUUCCUUACUGGUCGUCAGGAAUCUACUCUUUUUGUAGCAGUUCAUGUGAUUUUGAAAUUUACUUUCCGAAGUGAUGUCGGUGAUAGAUGGCACACGAAUUUUUUCAACUGUGCACUUAGAGAAACAUGUUUUUAUUACACAUAUGCAUUUGUUAUACUGUUUGUUAACGUAAAAAUACGAUGCCAACAAUAACCAACCAGAAACAGCAUCAUGGUUUGUUCCUUGCAGUAAAUAAUACAUUCGUAGCUUAUGUUGUCUAUAAACUGAUUUGUUUUCAUCCGAAUUGUACUUAAGUAAAUGUGUUUCCUGAUCCCUCCUUCGAUUCAGCAUUGACAGAAGCAUGAUAUAUAUUUGACUACCAGGUAAAUGUAAAGAACCAUAUACGGCAUUGGUAAUACAUUUUAUGGCUUGUUUUUGGCUAUAUUUAUUAUGUUGUAAUAAUGAAAUGUAUGUCAGGUACUGUAAAGGUGAUACCGCCAAACAUGUACUAUGAUAAGAAACUGAAGACAGGGGACAUUUCCAGUCUUUUGAAAACUCAACAAAUGUUUCUGUAUGAAGAAAAUAUUUCCAGCCAAAGUCGGAAAUACGUUUGAGUGCUGAUAAUACAUUUCCUGGUCGCAUUUACGAAAUCUUCCUUCGAACAUGUUAUUGUCGGGGAUAAAGUAAUGCACACAAGUAUUAUAUUCCACACAAUACAAUAGAUAAACCUUUGUACACAGGUCAUUAAGCACGGUAUAAAGUUUUCUUUUUUCCAUUUUGAUCUUUCUACCUCUUCAGAUAGCCAUAAUAUUAUCGUUUUAAUGUAAUACGAACAUAUAAGUUCCAUAUAACCCAACUCAUAAACAUCUUUUAAUAAGAUCUUUAGUAAGCAAUAACACAGUAUUUGACAAUGCAAAAGAGAAUAAAUAAGUUGUUUUUCGGCAACGACAAAUGAUAUACGCCAUUCUAUAUUCUUGGUCGGAGAUCCUUUACUUCCUAUAGGUGCAAAAUGAACACCAUACUCGACUAUUGAUUCAACCAAACUGAUAGGUUGUCAUAACGUUCGUGAUCUACUUAUCCAUGGAUGAGCACACGAUAUCCAUUUAUCGCAUUUGAAACAUGACGCAACAUCAAAAUUUCCACCAGGAUCAGAAUGACAUGGACCAUGAAUUACAUGAUUCGUAAUCCUUCCUUGUUCCAGAAAUACUUGACUGGAAAUAAAUCCUUCCUCGUCUAUACACCCAAAAAAUUGUCUGCAUUAUUUUUCCCUUGACUUGUCUAUUAGUUUUAUUCUUGAAUAUCCAGGCUUUGUGUCAUUCGUCUUUAUUAUCAAUGGAAUAUGUUUAUUUGUAAUAUUUAUAUCGGCUUCGUUUUCAUAAACAUGAUAUAAGGCAUUUAUUAUCAUCAUAUCAUAAUCGCUUCCUUUGAGACCUGUGCCUUCUGCUAUGCUACCACCAAUAAUCAUGAUACAUGUUUUAUUCAAAGUCAAUAUAUGUUCCACUGCAUUAGUAAUUUGUCUCUUGGUCUUCACUACUUUCUUUGAACCGACGACUCUACAGCAAUACUGGUAGAACUGAAUUGAAAGUUCCGUGCUAACUUG